UACGAAGGGGGCUAGCGUUGUUCGGAAUUACUGGGCGUAAAGCGCACGUAGGCGGGUCGUUAAGUCAGGGGUGAAAUCCCAGAGCUCAACUCUGGAACUGCCUUUGAUACUGGCGACCUAGAGUCCGGAAGAGGUUAGUGGAAUUCCCAGUGUAGAGGUGAAAUUCGUAGAUAUUGGGAAGAACACCAGUGGCGAAGGCGGCUAACUGGUCCGGUACUGACGCUGAGGUGCGAAAGCGUGGGGAGCAAACAGGAUUAGAUACCUAGUAGUCC
RNAcentral lists this ribosomal RNA (272 nucleotides) under uncultured prokaryote. Its description in RNAcentral is "partial 16S ribosomal RNA". It matches the Rfam family "Bacterial small subunit ribosomal RNA", at positions 524 to 796 of the family's 1533-position model. The record is from RNAcentral.